GGGAAAGUAGCAUAACUGGUUAAUGCGGCUCAUGCAAUGUCGCAUGUUCGCAUCAUUGCGAGAAGUUCUUAGUUCGAUUCUGAGCUUUCCCG
Pluteus cervinus is the source of this 92-nucleotide non-coding RNA. NCBI's taxonomy places the organism in Eukaryota, Fungi, Basidiomycota, Agaricomycetes, Agaricales, Pluteaceae. The record is from the annotation of a GenBank genome assembly.